CCUACGGGAGGCUGCAGUGAGGAAUAUUGGUCAAUGGGCGGAAGCCUGAACCAGCCAAGUAGCGUGCAGGAUGACGGCCCUACGGGUUGUAAACUGCUUUUAUACGGGAAUAACGCGCCUUACGUGUAGGGCUUUGCAUGUACCGUAUGAAUAAGGACCGGCUAAUUCCGUGCCAGCAGCCGCGGUAAUACGGAAGGUCCGGGCGUUAUCCGGAUUUAUGGGGUUUAAAGGGAGCGUAGGCCGCAUGUCAAGCGUGAUGUGAAAUGUCCGGGCUCAACCCGGGCCUUGCAGCGCGAACUGGCGUGCUUGAGUGCGCGGGACGCAGGCGGAAUUCGUCGUGUAGCGGUGAAAUGCUUAGAUAUGACGAAGAACCCCGAUUGCGAAGGCAGCUUGCUGCAGCGGAACUGACGCUGAUGCUCGAAAGCGCGGGUAUCGAACAGGAUUAGAUACCCUUGUAGUC
This 460-nucleotide ribosomal RNA is filed under the name uncultured bacterium. RNAcentral describes it as "partial 16S ribosomal RNA". It matches the Rfam family "Bacterial small subunit ribosomal RNA", at positions 338 to 795 of the family's 1533-position model. The record is from RNAcentral.